UGAGUACGAGCUGCUACGGCAGCGAAGUGGGUGAUGUCAAGCUUCCAAGAAAAGCCCUAUACCCGUUAAGGCAUGACGGCCUGUACCCGAAACCGACACAGGUGGGGUGGUAGAGAAUACCGAGGGGCGCGAGAUAACUCUCUCUAAGGAACUCGGCAAAAUGGCCCCGUAACUUCGGGAGAAGGGGUGCCACCGCAAGGUGGUCGCAGUGAAGAGGCCCAGGCGACUGUUUACCAAAAACACAGGUCUCCGCUAAGUCGCAAGACGAUGUAUGGGGGCCGACGCCUGCCCAGUGCCGGAAGGUUAAGGAAGCUGGUCAGCGCAAGCGAAGCUAGCGACUGAAGCCCCGGUGAACGGCGGCCGUAACUAUAACGGUCCUAAGGUAGCGAAAUUCCUUGUCGGGUAAGUUCCGACCCGCACGAAAGGCGUAACGAUCUGGGCGCUGUCUCGGAGAGAGGCUCGGCGAAAUAGAAUUGUCUGUGAAGAUGCGGACUACGUGCACCCGGACAGAAAGACCCUAUGAAGCUUUACUGUAGCUUGGUAUUGUGCCCGGGCUCUGAAUGCGCAGGAUAGGUGGGAGGCUUUGAUCCAUUGCUUGUGGGUAAUGGUGAGCCACUGGUGAGAUACCACUCUUUCAGAGCUAGGGUUCUAACGGUCACCCGUUAUCCGGGGACCGGACAGUAUCAGGUGGGCAGUUUGACUGGGGCGGUCGCCUCCUAAAAGGUAACGGAGGCGCGCAAAGGUUCCCUCAGGCUGGUUGGAAAUCAGCCGACGAGUGUAAAGGCAGAAGGGAGCUUGACUGUGAGACCUACAAGUCGAACAGGGACGAAAGUCGGCCUUAGUGAUCCGACGGUUCUGAGUGGAAGGGCCGUCGCUCAACGGAUAAAAGUUACUCUAGGAUAACAGGCUGAUCUCCCCCAAGAGUUCACAUCGACGGGGAGGUUUGGCACCUCGAUGUCGGCUCAUCGCAACCUGGGGCUGAAGUCGGUCCCAAGGGUUGGGCUGUUCGCCCAUUAAAGCGGUACGCGAGCUGGGUUCAGAGCGUCGUGAGACAGUUCGGUCCAUAUCCGGUGCACGCGCAGGAACAUUGAGAGGAUUUCUCCCUAGUACGAGAGGACCGGGAGGAACGCACCUCUGGUGUACCAGUUAUCGUGCCAACGGUAAACGCUGGGUAGCCAUGUGCGGAGCGGAUAACCGCUGAAAGCAUCUAAGUGGGAAGCCCACCUCAAGAUGAGUGUUCCCAUGGCAUAAGCCAGUAAGGUCACGGGAAGAACACCCGUUGAUAGGCUCUACGUGGAAGCGUGGCAACACGUGAAGCGGAGGAGUACUAAUAGACCGAGGGCUUGAU
RNAcentral lists this ribosomal RNA (1348 nucleotides) under metagenome. RNAcentral describes it as "bacterial LSU rRNA". It matches the Rfam family "Bacterial large subunit ribosomal RNA", at positions 1564 to 2925 of the family's 2925-position model. The record is from RNAcentral.